UACAGAGGUCUCAAGCGUUGUUCGGAUUCAUUGGGCGUAAAGGGUGCGUAGGUGGCGGUAUAAGUCUGGUGUGAAAUCUUGGGGCUCAACCCCGAAACUGCAUUGGAUACUAUAUCGCUAGAGGAUUGUAGAGGAGAGUGGAAUUCAUGGUGUAGCAGUGAAAUGCGUAGAUAUCAUGAGGAAGACCAGUUGCGAAGGCG
This 200-nucleotide ribosomal RNA is filed under the name uncultured bacterium. RNAcentral's name for it is "partial 16S ribosomal RNA". It matches the Rfam family "Bacterial small subunit ribosomal RNA", at positions 524 to 723 of the family's 1533-position model. The record is from RNAcentral.